GUUUAUUAGCACGGGCUUAUUAACAAGAUUAAGCACUCGUAGCACUAGUGAUAAUGACCUUAGGUUCGAAACGAAUCCGCGGUCACGGGAUGGUAAACGUAUGUUCUCGCACAGCUCAAGUCUAACUCUUUGUUAACUAGAUGUGAGGUAUUCACUGGUUGUAAGGUGGCACUGUCAUUCGUCGAUGAGAUGGUACGAAAGAAUGACUCUCCGUCUCGACGAUGUCGUCGAGGAAAACUAUAUUGGGUGGGUCUAAGGAUAUGAGAUCC
RNAcentral lists this unclassified non-coding RNA (269 nucleotides) under Bombus terrestris (buff-tailed bumblebee). Its description in RNAcentral is "misc RNA ENSBTSG00005021421.1". The record is from RNAcentral. Lineage: Eukaryota; Metazoa; Arthropoda; Insecta; Hymenoptera; Apidae.